GUGUCAGCCGCCGCGGUAAUACGGAGGGGGCUAGCGUUAUUCGGAAUUACUGGGCGUAAAGCGCACGUAGGCGGCUUUGUAAGUUAGAGGUGAAAGCCUGGAGCUCAACUCCAGAAUUGCCUUUAAGACUGCAUCGCUUGAAUCCAGGAGAGGUGAGUGGAAUUCCGAGUGUAGAGGUGAAAUUCGUAGAUAUUCGGAAGAACACCAGUGGCGAAGGCGGCUCACUGGACUGGUAUUGACGCUGAGGUGCGAAAGCGUGGGGAGCAAACAGGAUUAGAAACCCGAGUAGUCC
RNAcentral lists this ribosomal RNA (292 nucleotides) under uncultured Sphingomonas sp. RNAcentral's name for it is "partial 16S ribosomal RNA". It matches the Rfam family "Bacterial small subunit ribosomal RNA", at positions 505 to 796 of the family's 1533-position model. The record is from RNAcentral. Lineage: Bacteria; Pseudomonadati; Pseudomonadota; Alphaproteobacteria; Sphingomonadales; Sphingomonadaceae.